CUCGCGUGGAUGUACCAAAUUCGUUUCCUCUUUAGGCACGAUCAGACGAUCGAGAUCAAUUGUAAUAAAUGGUCCAUAUUUAUUUCCUCCUUAGGCACAAUCGGACGGAGGAGAUAGAUCACGAUGGAUGAUCCAUAUCAAUACGGGAUGAUUAUAAAUACUUUGCAUCACACGAAAACCUAAACCCUAGUCGCCAACCCCCCGCCGGAAAAGAAGAACUAG
This 222-nucleotide long non-coding RNA is filed under the name Carica papaya (papaya). RNAcentral describes it as "long non-coding RNA (CPAP_LNC011496)". Lineage: Eukaryota; Viridiplantae; Streptophyta; Magnoliopsida; Brassicales; Caricaceae. The record is from RNAcentral.